Molecule: ribosomal RNA, 408 nt
Filed under: uncultured bacterium
Lineage: Bacteria
Description: partial 16S ribosomal RNA
Rfam family: Bacterial small subunit ribosomal RNA
Source: RNAcentral
GACGAACGCUGGCGGCGUGCCUAAUACAUGCAAGUCGAGCGAAGCGGCGGAUGGGUGAGUAACGCGUGGGUAACCUGGCCUUCAGUCUGGGAUACCAUCUGUAAACAGAUGCUGAUACCGGAUCCUAAGGGAUGGAGCUGCGAGGCAUUAGCUAGUUGGUAAGGUAACGGCUUACCAAGGCGAUGAUGCAUAGCUGAGUUGAGAGACUGAUCGGCCACAUUGGGACUGAGACACGGCCCAAACUCCUACGGGAGGCAGCAGUAGGGAAUCUUCCACAAUGGACGAAAGCCUGAUGGAGCAACGCCGCGUGAGUGAAGAAGGUUUUCGGAUCGUAAAGCUCUGUUGUUGGUGAAGCGGUAAUCAACCAGAAAGUCACGGCUAACUACGUGCCAGCAGCCGCGGUAAUAC